AGAGUUUGAUCCUGGCUCAGGAUGAACGCUAGCGACAGGCUUAACACAUGCAAGUCGAGGGGCAGCGGGGGCGUAGCAAUAUGCCUGCCGGCGACCGGCGCACGGGUGAGUAACACGUAUGUAACCUGCCCUAUGCAGGGGGAUAACCCGGAGAAAUCCGGCCUAAUACCGCGUAACACCUUAGGGGAGCAUUCUCUUGAGGUUAAAGGAGAGAUCCGGCAUAGGAUGGACAUGCGUCGCAUUAGGUAGACGGCGGGGUAACGGCCCACCGUGCCGACGAUGCGUAGGGGUUCUGAGAGGAAGGCCCCCCACACUGGUACUGAGACACGGACCAGACUCCUACGGGAGGCAGCAGUGAGGAAUAUUGGUCAAUGGCCGAGAGGCUGAACCAGCCAAGUCGCGUGAGGGAAGAAUGUCCUAAGGAUUGUAAACCUCUUUUGUCGGGGAGCAAAAAGGCUCUGCGGAGUCGUAUUGAGAGUACCCGAAGAAAAAGCAUCGGCUAACUCCGUGCCAGCAGCCGCGGUAAUACGGAGGAUGCGAGCGUUAUCCGGAUUUAUUGGGUUUAAAGGGUGCGCAGGCGGCGUGUCAAGCAAGCGGUAAAAUAGCGGGGCUCAACCCCGUCGAGCCGUUUGAACUGGCGCGCUUGAGUUCAGGCGAGGUAGGCGGAAUUCGUGGUGUAGCGGUGAAAUGCAUAGAUAUCACGAAGAACUCCGAUUGCGAAGGCAGCUUACCAGUCUGCGACUGACGCUCAGGCACGAAAGUGUGGGUAUCGAACAGGAUUAGAUACCCUGGUAGUCCACACAGUAAACGAUGAGCGCUAGGUGUCCGGGUCGCAUGAGACUUGGGUGCCCGAGCGAAAGCGUUAAGCGCUCCACCUGGGGAGUACGCCGGCAACGGUGAAACUCAAAGGAAUUGACGGGGGCCCGCACAAGCGGAGGAACAUGUGGUUUAAUUCGAUGAUACGCGAGGAACCUUACCCGGGCUCAAACGACUCAGGAAUAUAUUGGAAACGAUGUAGCCAGCAAUGGUCUGAGUCGAGGUGCUGCAUGGUUGUCGUCAGCUCGUGCCGUGAGGUGUCGGCUUAAGUGCCAUAACGAGCGCAACCCCUACCGCCAGUUGCCAACGGGUAAAGCCGGGAACUCUGGCGGGACUGCCGGCGCAAGCUGCGAGGAAGGCGGGGAUGACGUCAAAUCAGCACGGCCCUUACGUCCGGGGCGACACACGUGUUACAAUGGCAGGUACAGCGGGAAGCCACCUGGUGACAGGGAGCGGAACCCGAAAGCCUGUCUCAGUUCGGAUUGGAGUCUGCAACUCGACUCCAUGAAGCUGGAAUCGCUAGUAAUCGCGGAUCAGAAUGCCGCGGUGAAUACGUUCCCGGGUCUUGCACUCACCGCCCGUCAAG
Molecule: ribosomal RNA, 1402 nt
Filed under: uncultured bacterium
Lineage: Bacteria
Description: bacterial SSU rRNA
Rfam family: Bacterial small subunit ribosomal RNA
Source: RNAcentral